CCAUUGGUACAUGGAAUGUGAGGACCAUGUACGAGUUAAGAAAGACGGCGCAGGUCUCAGCAGAGAUGACCCUACUAGGCAUUAGCGAGACAAGAUGGACACAAGCUGGACAGAGACGAUUGUUGACAGGAGAGCUGUUGCUGUAUUCUGGACAUGAAGAGAGUGACGCACCCCACACACAGGGAGUAGGCUUCAUGUUGUCCAAGCAGGCACAGAGAGCACUGAUUGGUUGGGAGGCACAUGGUUCCAGGAUUAUCACAGCAUCCUUCAGAACUAAAAUGAAGAGGAUUAAGAUGAAUGUUGUACAGUGCUAUGCUCCAACCAAUGACAGUGAAGAGGGGGACAAAGACUAUUUUUACAACAGACUUCAGAAAAUAUUAGAGAUUCUCCCAGACAAAGACAUUACCAUCCUUAUGGGAGACUUUAAUGCCAAAAUUGGACCUGACAACACAGGAUAUGAACAACUCAUGGGGACCACGCUUUGGGAGAGAUGAGUGAGAAUGGAGAGAGAUUUGUGGAUUUGUGUGCACUUAACCUGGUCAUAGGAGGUAGUAUCUUUCCUCACAAGCGGAUCCACAAGAGUACCUGGGUAUCGCCAGCAGGCACUAUAGAAAACCAGAUCGAUCAUGUCUGUAUUAUUAAGAAGUUCAGAAGAUCUUUGCAGGACGUUAGAGUUAGAAGAGGAGCAGAUGUACCGUCCGACCAUCACUUAGUGGUGGCUAGAUUGAAGCUGAAGCUGAAGAAGAACUGGAUAGACGCGUCAGAUAGAAGAGCGAAGUACAACAUCAGCUUUUUGAAGGAUCAUAAGACCAAGGAAGAUUUUGGACUGACGCUGAAGAAUAAGUUUUCAGUACUACAGGAUCGGUCUGAGGAAGAGGAAGACAGUGUAUCGAACAGAUGGCAGAAAGUGAGAGAGACACUUAGGUCAGCAUGCCAGGAAGUGCUUGGAAUCAAGAAAUACCAGCAGAAAGAGUGGAUCACAGCAGAGACCUUGACUAAUAUAGAAGAUAGAAAGAAGAAGAAGGCAGUAGUUAAUAACAGCAGGACUAGAGCAGCAAAGGCUAAAGCACAAGAAGAGUAUGCUGAAGCCCAUAAAGUAGUGAAGAGGAAUAUUAGGAAGGAUAAGAGAGAUUAUGUGGAUGGACUGGCAGCAGAAGCGGAACAGGCAGCAUACAAUGGUAAUAUGAAACAGCUGUAUGACAUCACCAAGCGACUGUCUGGAAAGUUCAGCAAACCAGAGCGUCCCGUCAAAGACAAGCAGGUAAAGUCUAUAACAGAAAUAGAACAACAGAUGAAUAGAUGGGCGGAGCACUUUGAGGAACUCCUAAAUAGACUAGCACCACUAAAUCCACCAGACAUUAACCCAGCCAAUGAAGACCUUCCAAUCAAUUGUGAUAGACCUACCAGAGAUGAGAUCAGAAAAGCCGUCACUAUGAUGAAGAACAGGAAAGCGGCUGGACCUGACGAUAUUCCAGCAGAGGCCCUGAAAGUAGAUCUGGAUGCUUCAGUGGAAAUGCUGUACCCACUUUUUGAGAAGAUAUGGGAAGAAGAAGUGAUUCCGGCAGACUGGAAAGAGGGAUACCUUAUUAAAAUCCCCAAGAAAGGAGACCUCAGCAAUUGUGCCAACUACAGAGGAAUCACACUUCUGUCGGUGCCACGGAAGGUCUUCAACUGUGUUCUCUUAGAGAGAAUAAAGGAUGCCAUCGA
Molecule: long non-coding RNA, 1707 nt
Organism: Chrysemys picta bellii (western painted turtle)
Lineage: Eukaryota; Metazoa; Chordata; Testudines; Emydidae
Source: Ensembl